CUACGGAGGGUGCAAGCGUUACUCGGAAUCACUGGGCGUAAAGCGCGCGCAGGCGGUCUUUUAAGUUGGAUGUGAAAGCCUACGGCUCAACCGUAGAACUGCAUCCAAAACUAUUAGACUAGAGUGUGGGAGAGGAAGAUGGAAUUAGUUGUGUAGGGGUAAAAUCCGUAGAGAUAACUAGGAAUACCAAAAGCGAAGGCAAUCUUCUGGAACACUACUGACGCUGAGGCGCGAAAGCGUGGGGAGCGAACAGGAUUAGAAACCCCAGUAGUCC
Molecule: ribosomal RNA, 274 nt
Filed under: uncultured bacterium
Lineage: Bacteria
Description: partial 16S ribosomal RNA
Rfam family: Bacterial small subunit ribosomal RNA
Source: RNAcentral